AUCACUUGAAGUAGAGCCCCUUAACAAUCUAGUUGAAAAACAGAAGUUUUCACUCUUGUGCAUUGCAUUUUUAUUGUUGGAAGUUAUAAAAUGCUAAGAUUAGGUCUUCAGUCUUUCUAUGCUAGAAUGGGCAAUGAUAGUGUCUCAUUUAGUUCAAAAAUUAUUCAUGUGUUAUGCUUCUGUCUAUUUCCUUCCUCACUUUCUCACAACUUUAUUAGGUCCACAACCAGAGCAUUGACUUGGAUUCUUUUAAUAACUGAAUCAAUCUUUGUAGUCUAUAAGUGCAAGGGCAUUAAAGGAGAUGUGUGAUUAUUUCCUCUGCCAUCUAAAACAGUUGCUGGGAUUUCUCAUAAUCAAUAUGGAGUUCACUUUUAGUCCUGUUUCCCACUUCUUGGUGCCUUGAUUUGUGAAUGAGCAUUUUAAAUUGACAUUGUGAUUAAGUUCUUCCCUCUAAUUCUAUGUGCAACCGUAAUUUUGAUUAAGUUGAAUUACCUGUUUGAUUGGACAUAUGCCUAGUGGGAUG
This 523-nucleotide unclassified non-coding RNA is filed under the name Hevea brasiliensis (rubber tree). The record is from RNAcentral. Lineage: Eukaryota; Viridiplantae; Streptophyta; Magnoliopsida; Malpighiales; Euphorbiaceae.